RNAcentral lists this ribosomal RNA (491 nucleotides) under uncultured bacterium. RNAcentral describes it as "bacterial SSU rRNA". It matches the Rfam family "Bacterial small subunit ribosomal RNA", at positions 28 to 518 of the family's 1533-position model. The record is from RNAcentral.
GAUAAACGCUAGCGACAGGCCUAACACAUGCAAGUCGAGGGGCAUCACGUCUUCGGAUGGUGGCGACCGGCGCACGGGUGAGUAACACGUAUGCAACCUACCUGUAAGAGGGGAAUAACCCGGAGAAAUUCGGACUAACACCGCAUAAUACAUAAUUACCGCAUGGUAUUUAUGUUAAAUAUUUAUAGCUUACAGAUGGGCAUGCGUAUGAUUAGCUAGUUGGUGAGGUAACGGCUCACCAAGGCAACGAUCAUUAGGGGUUCUGAGAGGAAGGUCCCCCACACUGGUACUGAGACACGGACCAGACUCCUACGGGAGGCAGCAGUGAGGAAUAUUGGUCAAUGGGCGAGAGCCUGAACCAGCCAUGUCGCGUGAAGGAAGAAUGUCCUAUGGAUUGUAAACUUCUUUUAUACAGGAAUAAAGUGUACUACGUGUAGUAUUUUGUAUGUACUGUAUGAAUAAGGAUCGGCUAACUCGUGCCAGCAGCCGAC